CUAUGGUACCAACUCUUUUGCUGUGCCAGCACAGAGGUCUCCAGAGCGACUCUCCUGAAUCAGAUAGCAGGGGCUGUUUGCAGUUUCGUUUCCACGCUUCGCUGACUGGUUAGACAGUGAUCACAGGUUCGGAAGCACGAGCCUCACCACAGCGGAGGAGGCCUCCACUCUGAAGCGGGAUUCCACGCUCCUGCACCCUAAGAUCAGCUAGACUCUCUGCCUUGUUUCAUCUUCUUUCUUUUCCUAAAGAAUCACGGGGAGAACUGACCUCUCUGGGACUCAACCGUGGCUGGAAGGGGACAGGAGAAGCCCUUUCUGGAGGACAGCUGAGCCCUGCAGCUGCCAUCCUGCCUGGCAGGCUAGGGCUGGGCUGCGGGAAGGCCCCCCAGGAGGGAGGUCCGGCCACUGCACCCCGAGGAAAGGGCUGCUUUCGGCACUCUGCGUGGAGGUCCUGGCUUCUGCCGUCCCUGGAGGCUCCGUUCCCGUUUCGCCAGCUAUUUUGCUGCCUCGGCCAUCUGUUCCCUCCCUGUCAUCUCCUCUCUGCUUUAACCUUAACCACUACUUCACUGCAGAUGGUACCAGGCAGUUCUGCUCUCGACAUCCUUCACGACGCCUGGCCCUCCUUCUCAUCUCCAGCAAGUGAACCGCUCUGUCCUUUUUAAAGCCUCAUCCCAAAGACACGGCCAGAGCUUGGAGUUGGAUUCGCCCCACACAACUCCCCCUCUUUGAUGCCAUCUGCUUUCAACUCCACCACUGGCCAGGGGCAAACACCUACCCCUUCCCCUGCCUUUUCCUCCUGAGACUUCUUCUCAAACUCGGCCAAGAAGCUCUCCUGGCAUGGACAGCGUGUCUGCUCCGGGUCUCUACCUGGUCUCCAUCAACAGAGCCAUGUAACCGCCCAGAGGGCUCCAGGUCCGCAAGCUGAGGCGGAGGCCAGAAACUCUGAAGUUCACUCCUACUGUGGAGGAACGAGGGCUCGUGCUGGGAGUUUGGGUCAUGAACAGUUUCCCUGUAGAAAAUGGACCUGAACACUCUGCAGUAAGGAAUUGUUUCCCAUGCUGGCAUGGUGGGAACCGAACCAAAACACAUUUUCUAUGUUGUCUGAGCUCACAGGGAACAUCCCUCUGCUGUCCUUGCUGUUAUUCUGGCAUGCUGGUGAGAAAAUGCAUGCAUGGGCUUUACUUAGCAACUCGCUCUGCCUCUCCUCUCUGUCAGGGCGCUCCCCUAAAAUCUCUCCUCUUGACGUCUUUUUUCUGGCAUAAGGACCCGGAGCUUUGAGGAGCGCAGCAGCCCAGAAGCUCCUAAGGAGAGAAGCUGUUUUGGUGAGAUUGGUUCCACCAGGCUACAUGCCUUGACUGGGACAGAAAUGGGCUGGGAAGGCCGAAAUUUGACUUCUGCACCUGGAUUUGGGCUAAAAAGUCUCACAGCUCAGCCUCCUUGAUAAGGGUUCUUCUAUCUCCCCUCUAUACUUCCUCUGCAGCAGAAAAGAGUAUCUUGGCCGUGCAGGGAACGCUCUUCUCUCACUCUCGCCACUGGGGUUAAGGGCAGCUACAUUACUAUAGCUCCAAGUCUUGGUUGCCCCCAGAGAGAGGCAGAGAUGUAGCCUGCCCACAUCUGGACACUUGAAGACUCUCCAAACACCUAGAGGAGCUGUGGAUUCAAGUGAAGCAACCAUCUGAUGCCACCACGGUCCCUCCUUCCCUUUGCCUUCCCUUCUUCCCACAAAAGAGAAGCCCAAAUCCGCCACCAGACCAGCCCAUCUGCCCGUGGAAACCAAGGGAACCAAAUGCAUCGUACUGGGUUGCAGGCCUUAAUCUAGCUCUCGCUGAAUUAUUCAGGGAUGGCAUUAACUUAUAAAUGAGUGUGUUUGACUGAUUUUGUGGUUGAUGUACAGAUAAAGUCUAAUGAAAGACA
This 1914-nucleotide long non-coding RNA is filed under the name Homo sapiens (human). Its description in RNAcentral is "non-protein coding lnc-DPH1-1:3". Lineage: Eukaryota; Metazoa; Chordata; Mammalia; Primates; Hominidae. The record is from RNAcentral.